AUGAUGAACAGCCACUCAAUCGAUGAGAAGCCAUUUCGUCGUGAGGUCAAUAGUCUCAUGAAAGUUAACCAUAUAAAUACAGUUCGGUUCCUUGGCUUCUGUUCUAACACAGAGCAUAAAGCUAUACAAAUUAGCGGAUCGGAAGAAUAUAUUUUUGCCGAGAUAAGACAGCGAUUGCUCUGUUUUGAGUAUAUCAGCAAUGGAGGCCUUGAUAAACAUAUUACGGAUGAAUUGAGGGGACUUGAAUGGAGCACAAGGUUUGACAUAAUUAAAGGAAUCUGUGAGGGCUUGCAACACCUUCACAAGGAAAAUGGCAUAAUUCAUAUGGACCUCAAGCCAACCAAUAUACUACUAGAUGAUCAAAUGGUACCAAAGUUCACUGAUUUUGGCCUUUUGAGACUCGAAGAAAACUCAUAA
Molecule: ribosomal RNA, 417 nt
Filed under: Triticum aestivum (bread wheat)
Lineage: Eukaryota; Viridiplantae; Streptophyta; Magnoliopsida; Poales; Poaceae
Description: partial small subunit ribosomal RNA
Source: RNAcentral